GUGAAAAUGCAGAUUCAGAUUGAGGACCCUGGGAGUCUGCAUUUCCAAGAUGCACCGAGCUGAUGCCAAGGCAACUUGUCCAUAGACCACAUGGAGAAACAAGAGACACAGCAAGAGUGGGAACACCAGCAGGAAGAGCUGCAGAGAGAGAGAGAGGGAGAAGCAGGAUUUCCACCGAGUAGGAAGACAGAUGCAGGG
Molecule: long non-coding RNA, 198 nt
Filed under: Mustela putorius furo (domestic ferret)
Lineage: Eukaryota; Metazoa; Chordata; Mammalia; Carnivora; Mustelidae
Description: lncRNA (ENSMPUG00000027627.1)
Source: RNAcentral